Molecule: ribosomal RNA, 465 nt
Filed under: uncultured bacterium
Lineage: Bacteria
Description: partial 16S ribosomal RNA
Rfam family: Bacterial small subunit ribosomal RNA
Source: RNAcentral
GACGAACGCUGGCGGCGUGCUUAACACAUGCAAGUCGAACGGAAAGGCCCCUUUGGGGGUCCUCGAGUGGCGAACGGGUGAGUAACACGUGAGUAACCUGCCCUUGACUUCGGGAUAACUUCAGGAAGCUGGGGCUAAUACCGGAUAGGAAUCCUUGCUGCAUGGUGGGGGUUGGAAAGCUUCGGCGGUUUUGGAUGGACUCGCGGCUUAUCAGCUUGUUGGUGGGGUAGUGGCUUACCAAGGCUUUGACGGGUAGCCGGCCUGAGAGGGCGACCGGCCACAUUGGGACUGAGAUACGGCCCAGACUCCUACGGGAGGCAGCAGUGGGGAAUAUUGCACAAUGGGCGGAAGCCUGAUGCAGCAACGCCGCGGGCGGGAUGACGGCCUUCGGGUUGUAAACCGCUUUCAGCAGGGGCGAAGCUUGUGGUGACGGUACCUGCAGAAGAAGCACCGGCUAACUACGUG